UUACGGCGACUAUUUCCCAGGUGAUCACCUCUUCCCAUUCCGAACAGAGUAGUUAAGCCCUGGAGAGCCGAUGGUACUGCUUCACGCGGGAGAGUAGGUCGUCGCCGAUUUUUUUGUGAA
This 120-nucleotide ribosomal RNA is filed under the name Chlorobium phaeovibrioides. Lineage: Bacteria; Pseudomonadati; Chlorobiota; Chlorobiia; Chlorobiales; Chlorobiaceae. The record is from RNAcentral.